This 1641-nucleotide long non-coding RNA is filed under the name Lactuca sativa (garden lettuce). RNAcentral describes it as "long non-coding RNA (LSAT_LNC009101)". The record is from RNAcentral. Lineage: Eukaryota; Viridiplantae; Streptophyta; Magnoliopsida; Asterales; Asteraceae.
UGGCAAAGCCCCACAAUAUCCCUGCAUCAUGGAAUAAUACCCAAACUGACCCCAACCUUCUGAUGACUAAAGGGCAAAAUGUGGAAUACAUAUUAUAUAUUAAGGUUGCCCAUCCCAUCCACCUAAACCGUAUCACUAUCUCUAAGCAUAUUGUUUGUUGAUAGGAGGGAGUAUGGAAUAAGAAGUGCAUGAUAAAAGUAGUAAAAGACAAGUAGGAUUUAGUUUUAGAAUUUAGAGAGAACAUUAACAAAUAACAGCUGUUUGGUGUUUUGUUGAAAUCUCAAAUGGUGAAUUAGGAGUUAGGAGUUAGGAGGAGCGAGCAUUAAUAGGCAUCAUGUAAAGACCUCGACUCUCUAGCAGCUUAAUUGCUGCAGAGGGACUUGUUUCCAUCAAAUUUCCAAGCAUCUCUUCCAGUGGUCCACUAGCUGUAGCAGUCUUUUCAUCAACAAGGUAAGCACCAUAUCCCUGUCCAUUGUAAUUAUUAUAUAAUUAUAAUUAUUAUUUUAUUUCACCACGAUUGUUUUUAUUUUAUGAAGAGGGUAUUCUCGUCUUUUUGCACUGACAAGCAUUAAUACCUGUCCUGUCCCAUCUUUUUUUUUUUUUUUUUUUGACUGAAACAUAAAUAAAAUUUGUAAUUUUUGUCCCAGUUCCAGAGGGUGUUUGGGAUUGCCUUUUGAAACAACUUAUUAACUUAUUGGCUUUUUGUUCAAAAAGCCAAUAAGUUAAAAAAAAAAAAAAAUAAAAAAAAAAGUGUUUGGAUAGGAGAAAAGGACUUUUCAAUUUGGCUUCUUAGUAAGGUUGAAAAAACAGGUUACAAAUACCUGGUUUUUUGGAAAAGACGUAAGUCAAUAAGUUAUUUUUUGGGUCAUUUUACAUAUUUAAGCUAGCCAAACACUUUUUAACUCAUUGACUUUUCCCACUAUAAAAGCCAAUCCAAACACUUUUUUUAAAAACUCCUUUUGAAAAAGUCCUUUUAAAGUUUAAAAAGCAGUCGAAUACAUACCAAAUACAAGACCAUUUUUAUUGCUAGACAUAGACAUACCUCAAGGUAAGUUAAGUGAUUGGAAGUUGGUUCCCCUACCAAUCUGUUCUGACUCAAUUCCUGCACCAUUUUGAGGGAUUUAAAACUCAUGAUUUUCUAAUAUUCACCCGACUGGGUUAACAGAAAGAAACUAGACCACUUUUAUUGUACAUACAUGGCAAUCAAUCAUCUUAUAAGAGUUUAGGGGUUUUGUUAAGUUGCAAGACAACAGUCUCUCACCUUCAUAUGAAGCUGCAAAUACUUUAUAUACUCUAUGCAGUCAUCAACUAUGUUUGUUUUGUUUCCCUGCAGAAAAAAAUGGCGAUUAAAUGAAAUGGGGGUUGCUUUUGGACAAAUGUAGCAGACGUUGACCUAAUUUCAUUCUUCUUCCUUCAUCUUCAACAAAGGGACAAACAUCAAAUUACAGUAUAAAACAUUGUGUGUCACACUCACUCAGUUGCAUAAAUUUGUAAAAGUUUUACAUGAUUAAGGAUUUAACUAAUUGCCGCGUCAUAUACAAACCCAUUGCAUAUUUCAUCUAAAAAAAUCACUUUUUUGCACAAACUGGGAAAAGGUGAAAUGCUGUUGCAUAAAUGCACAUUUGACCCAACAUUUAAGCA